Molecule: long non-coding RNA, 3478 nt
Filed under: Sus scrofa (pig)
Lineage: Eukaryota; Metazoa; Chordata; Mammalia; Artiodactyla; Suidae
Description: lncRNA (ENSSSCG00015060318.1)
Source: RNAcentral
AGGGUGGCCUUGAAGGAGGCCUGACACAUCCUGUCGUCGCACAGAUGACGCGUGCGUGCGUGCGUGCGUGACGCGUGCGUGCGUGCGUGCGUGAUUGCAACGAUGCGGAAGGCCUGGUGGCUGAUGGUCACUGUGAGUGUGUUUUCUUUGGCCCGUUUUAACGGGAGACGUUGUCUGAUGUUUUAAAAACGUACCUGGCACCCAGUAAAGCAUGAGACUGUGGCUGAAACGUAUCGUUCAGUUAGCUUGACACCGAACAGCGUGAGGACUUGCCAAGUCUUGUGGAAUGUCGGGGGCAGUUCAGGAAGGCCUGGCACGUGAGUCUACAGAGGAGAUUGUCCUGUUUUCACAGCGACGUUGCCUCUGUCACAUUCCAGCCCCAGAAAGGUCGCAAGGUGUCUGCCGGAGGAUCAGCAGGCCAGGGUCGGGUUCUGUCACAGCCACCAGCAGCAUCUGAAUGAGUGUGAUUUAUGGCGCCUUUCGAAUCCGCCUCUCCGCGAGACGCGAAGCUUCAUAACCAGCCAAACGCUCUGUGCAGCGGUGGGUGGGCUUCUGAAGCAGGGCUCCGUUGUUCCUACGGAAAGACCGAGGCGGCUUUCUUCUCGCAAUUUCUAAGGGCAUCGACUCUUCUUACCCUUAAGCAGGACGGAAAGAGCUGUGUCCUCGGAGCCGUGUUUGGUUGACUCUAGCCAGCAGAGCUCUCUCUGCGCAGGGCUUUUCUUUCCCCGGGUGGCUGUUUACAGCAAACAGGAGCUCUGCUGAACAGGCGGGCGGUCCUUUGCUGCAGGUGAGGGAAGCCACCGUCCCACAGCCUGGCGCGUGUCACCCGGGGGAGAACCCCCCCCCCCCCCCCCCCGAAAUCUAAGCCCCCGUCUGCUUGAUUCGUCUCCGAGGCCUUUGCUGUGAGACGCAGCGGUUCCCUGCGUCAGGCCUCCUCCUUCCUUCAGACUGAGACAUGGUGUGGAGGCUGCUCGAGGCACCUGCAAGGCCAGAGCUGAAGCACACACCAGGCAGGAGGGAGCCAACUCAUGAUGUGUUUACCAAAUGGAUCUUGAUUCUUAGAGCGGACUCUUCUGAGGUGCCAGGGGCCGUGAGGCAGGGAAGCUCAGGAAGAGCACGCAAGCUGGGUGACCUUGUCCAGGGUGGAGCUCACCCCGGGCAGCACACGCAAAGGCCCGCUCCUUCUGGGGGUGGUGGGACCGCUGUGGCCAGCGUGGGGGUCCAACCUGACACGUGCCUGGGGGGGCCUGGUGGAGUGUGACCUCUGCCCUGUAUGGAGUUUCCUUGCCUGUAAAUACGUGACAUGACUUCAAAUCUCUAGUCUUCCGACUGUCACAAGUCACCAAACGGAGGCAGUUAGACCUGGACUGGAAGCAGCUCGGCCCCAGGAACAGACGGGCUGCGGGCAGCUGUUCCUGGAGGGGGGACGUCAGCCCCCUGUUUGGCAGCACUGGACUGAGAGCGUCCUGCCAUCCGGGUCACCUUGGUCCUGUUCCCGGUGUCGAGGGGGGCGGCGCCGAACGUGAGAUAGAUGUUUAGGGCGCAGCUGGAGCACCUGCUGACCUCAGACCAGCCCUCCCUCCGCCCUGGUCCUGGGGGAGCCUCGGGUGGGAAGGGGCCCCGCCCUGCUCCUGCCUGGAGGCAUCCUGGUCCCCAGGCUGCAGCCAGUCUGCUCCUGGCACUCCGCACCCCUGCGACAGAGAGCCACUGGCCGUGACCCUGAUUUUCUUGGGUAACUUUACCCCCAAAUAAGUGCCGUGAGAGCGACGUAAUCGGACAGGUGGAGCUGGAAGCCAAGCAAGGAGUCGAGACCCCAAAUCUUCUCUGAACCUGCUCUCCCACCCGGGGAACCCCAUCCCCGCCCCUCCUUGUCCUGGACCCGGGGUGGGGGGCGGAGGAGGAGCAGUGGGCGGAGCAAAUGAGGAGCCGCUGCAGUGCGAGGGGGGCAUUUUCUGCAGAACGAGCCUGUUACUCCUAAUGUCCCCCAAACCUGGAGAAAGCGGGAUUUGUGUUUUUUCACAUGCAAGAUUCAGGAAGUUGGGGGGGGGGAGACGAGCGGGGGUGCUUGGAGAGAGGAAGCCUUCCCCCUUAUAUCCUUGCUGUCACCCCCUUGGCCCUCACCAUGUGACCUGAGAGCUGGGUCUCCAGCUUUCCAGCGGCUCAGGUCACAGCAGACACGGGGGCCGCCUCGGGGGCUGUCCCACAGCCACGGUGAUCCACGCGGAGCGCCUGAAACCCAGGCAGGAGGGGCACUCAGGCUGCACCCAGUCUCGCCCUGCCCUGCGCAGUUGUAUUCCUUUGACGAAUCAUGUCUGAGAAGUCUGCUCAGGGCUCCUGCACUUGGCUGUCCACCCUGAGGCCAGGCGCCUUUGCAGACAGAAGGGCAGCUUGAUGAGGGCGUUACAGACGGUCCGGUGCCAGCUCGGGCCUCUCUGGAGAGUGUCUUCUUCCCUCAGCUCACAAACUCUUCGGCUGCCCCUAAUGCUGUGGGUGCCAGCUGCUCUCUGAGUAGAUGCCCCCGUUAGGGAUCUGGGGGAGGGCAAAGGGGAAUUUAUGUGUCAGCGUGGCUGGAUCACAGGACCCAGAUAGCUGGUUAAACAUUGGUCCGGAUGUUGCUGGGGCAGCAUCUUUAGAUCAGAUUUACAUUUAAGUCAGUAGACUUGGCGUUCCCGUCGUGGCACAGUGGUUAAUAAAUCCGACUAGGAACCAUGAGGUUGCGGGUUCAGUCCCUGGCCUUGCUCAGUGGGUUAAGGAUCCAGCGUUGCCGUGAGCUGGGGUGCAGGUCACAGACGCAGCUCAGAUCUGGCGUUGCUAUGGCUCUGGCGUAGGCUGGCGGCUACAGCUCCAAUUAGACCCCUAGCCUGGGAAUCUCCGUAUGCCGAGGGUGCGGCCCUAGGAAAUACGAAACAAAACCAAAAAUAACCAUUUAAGUCUUUGAGUAAAGCUGAUGGCCAUUGCAUGGUGGGCCAUGCCCAAUCAGUUGAAGGGCUUUAAGAGAACCGAUGUAAGGCUUCCUGAGGAAGAGGGAAUUCUGACUCCAGACACCUUCAGACUCCAGCUGCAACUUCAGCUCUCUGCUGGGGCUCCAGCCUCCAGCUUGCCCUGCAGAUUUCAGACUUAUCAGCCCAUAAUUACUUGAACUACUUCCUUAAACUCAAUCCCUCUCUUUCCCUCCCUCUCCCUCCGUCCCCCUGUCUCCCUAUCUCUCUAUGGCUCUCUCUGUACCGCACAGAUUGCCACCCACCAAAGAGGACGCCUCCAUUAACAGGAAGGCCUGGUGGAGUUCCCAUCGUGGCAUGGUGGAAACGAACCUGACUAGGAACCAGGAAGGCUGUGGGUUCAAUCCCUGGCCUCACUCAGUGGGUUAAGGAUCCCGCGUUGCCGUGAGCUGUGGUGUAGGUCGCAGACAAGGCUCGGAUCUGGAUGGCUAUGGCUGUGGUGUAGGCUGGCAGCUGAUUUGACCGAUUAGACCCCUAGC